CAGUAGCCACGGUAAUACGAAGGGUACAAGCGUUAAUCGGAAUUACUGGGCGUAAAGCGUGCGUAGGCGGUUUGUUAAGUCUGCUGUGAAAUCCCCGGGCUCAACCUGGGAAUGGCAGUGGAUACUGGCAAGCUAGAGUGUGUCAGAGGAUGGUGGAAUUCCCGGUGUAGCGGUGAAAUGCGUAGAGAUCGGGAGGAACAUCAGUGGCGAAGGCGGCCAUCUGGGACAACACUGACGCUGAGGCACGAAAGCGUGGGGAGCAAACAGGAUUAGAGACCCCCGUAGUCCCUGUCUCUUAUAC
This 301-nucleotide ribosomal RNA is filed under the name uncultured bacterium. RNAcentral describes it as "partial 16S ribosomal RNA". It matches the Rfam family "Bacterial small subunit ribosomal RNA", at positions 509 to 807 of the family's 1533-position model. The record is from RNAcentral.